UACGUAGGGUGCGCGCGUUAAGCGGAAUUACUGGGCGUAAAGCGUGCGCAGGCGGUUCGCUAAGACCGAUGUGAAAUCCCCGGGCUUAACCUGGGAACUGCAUUGGUGACUGGCGAGCUAGAGUGUGGCAGAGGGGGGUAGAAUUCCACGUGUAGCAGUGAAAUGCGUAGAGAUGUGGAGGAAUACCGAUGGCGAAGGCAGCCCCCUGGGCUAACACUGACGCUCAUGCACGAAAGCGUGGGGAGCAAACAGG
RNAcentral lists this ribosomal RNA (253 nucleotides) under uncultured bacterium. Its description in RNAcentral is "partial 16S ribosomal RNA". It matches the Rfam family "Bacterial small subunit ribosomal RNA", at positions 524 to 776 of the family's 1533-position model. The record is from RNAcentral.